This is an RNA transcript of Exaiptasia diaphana, 3114 nucleotides long. RefSeq lists it as uncharacterized. The record is from RefSeq and is a predicted model, not a curated record. The transcript is spliced from 3 exons. Lineage: Eukaryota; Metazoa; Cnidaria; Anthozoa; Actiniaria; Aiptasiidae.
AGAUUCCAUAAAAAAUGAUCCUGGUUCCAAGAAUAAAAGGAAGCUACUGCGCAUGUGAAUUCGUUUUCUGGGAAGCAGGUCGUUUCGAAGCUUUGUUUACAUCAUCUUGGUAAUUGUCAGGUAGCAAAAUGGAAUCAAGGUUUCAGCGUUGUUAUAAAUCUUUCACUCUAACCUUGUUUGAAGAGGAUUUUAUCAAUAUCGGUAAGCUGGUCAGUAAAUUCCCAAAUCAAGAGACUGGUGGAAACCUAUUUGGUCUAUGGACAAACCAAGGGAACGCUGUUGUCUUGGUUGCUACGGGGCCAGGCGAGAACUGUACUCGAAGCCCUGCAUCGUUCUUCCAGGAUAUAAAUUACAUGGCUCGAAUAGGAAACUUAUUGACAAGCACAUAUCCCUUGUGUCAUAUAGGUGAAUGGCAUUCUCACCACAGACUAUCAUUGCUAAAACCAAGCGAAGGAGACUGUAACACCAUAAGACGAAAUUAUCCACGAGGAUCCCAAGGCUUUAUACUCAUCAUUGCAAAUAUCAUCCAGGGCGGGCAAGUCAAGCUAUCGCCAUAUAAAUUUACUGACGAAGUAUCAGCAUACCAAGUGGGAGAAGUUGAAAGUUUGCCUAUAAAGAAUCCUUUCAACGAUGUGGGUAUAAUAAGGUCAGCUAUAAAUAAAGGUAAAGAGCUUAUACCAAAACAACCAAGAGAGAUUUCUUAUCUGGAAGAACACGAUAGGACUAUACGAAGUCGCCAAAGAAGAAAUGAUUUCGAUACCAAAAGUCGACUCCGUAGUCGUUCACGAUCACCACAAAAGAUUCCCCAGAGAUACCAUCCAGAGAGAACAACACAAAGAGAUCAUCAGAGAUCAACCAGCCAAAGCCACAUUCCUCAGCCUCCUCUCUAUCCAAGAGAUCCGACUAAUAUAAUAAUUUCUCGAGCCUCUGGAAUCCAGGGGAAAACUUAUCCAAGAACAAGAAGGAAUGAGGAUCAUCGAGCUACAGAAAGCAGCACCGUACCAUUCAACAGAACAACCGUCCACGCUUUGACAGCUCUAACAGAGGCGAACAAUCAUUUGACUUCUAUUCAAAAGCCUUGGUAUGACCGGCAAGAAAUGUUGCGAGAAACGUUGUCCUUUAUAAAGGACCGUGCAGAUGAUAGAGAAGUUACAAUCAAAAGGGACAAGAAUACAAUGGAAGUGUCCUUUGAAUUCAAACAUAACCACUACAAAUGGAUAGCAAGUUUUCCAAAUGGUUUUCCACACAGUGGAAUUGUUACACUUAAAAAGGAUACUUCCACUCAUCCAUGUGUAACUAGGAUUUGCUUGCGCGGAGGUUUUAAUGACUUUCAAAAUGAUUUUCGACUAAAGUGCAGUUGUAGUGCUUGCUUAUGAGUUAAAUUAGAUCAGAUAAGCAUAGUUUAGCUUGCGCCCAUAUUGUCCACAACUUUAGACUAAUAUAGACUUUUGGUUAAAGAAUUUUGUUAUGAAGCGUACUGGAAAGGGAUAAGAAAGGAAGAAGAGCUUGCUACCGAUACACAAAGUAUUGAGUAAAGUGACACAUUGGUGUCCAACAGGCUAUUUUAUUCCUUUUUCGCGGGUAUAUAAUACUUGCUAAAUGUAUUUAAUAGACAAAAUAUACUCACUCAGCAAACUCGGCACCAUGGGUAAAGUAAAUAUACUAUCAUGUUUCUAUCAUGUUCCCCAGGUAACUAUUAGUUUUCCAAUAUUGGCGUUCAUUAAGGCUCAUUAUCAAACCAUAUAGAUACACUCUUUUAUUGACAUGUAAAAUACGCAUUUUGUAAUAAUGUAAUUAUGCAAAGUUGAACAAAAUACACACCAUAAAAAGAUCAACACUAACCGACAGUCGAUUUCACACUAACCAUUUCACUUGUUUGACUUAACAGCUCAUAUUUGUAAUGUGUCAGUAUGCGAACGUAUUGUCAGGAUCUUACAUUGGUAAUGUCUACAUCAUAAAUUUGAACUCAACUUCAGAAUUUCUUUGUACGCAGGCAUGAACUAAGCUUGUUCAAUGCAUGUAAUCAUAUAUGAGAUGAAUUCAUGUCGGAUUCCAAUUGUUUUUCUAGGUAACAAUACCGUURCAUUCAACACGUAACGCAAUAUCACUCUCUGGGAUUCCCGGAAAUUGUGAACUAAUUAAAUUCUUAGCUACGUUUGUUAUGUUUCUAGUCUUGUCCCAAUGGUUUUGAAAUUCAGGUGAUGCAAAGAGAUGGCGACGACCAUAACAAUUCACCAUGGCGAGAUUUUACUGAUACAAAGAAUGAUCCAAAAUACUAAAGACGCGMGAAAGCUUCGAGGUGCUUUAUAUGGACUUUAUACACAAUCAGGUCAGCCGGUAGUUCAGUUGAUAUGUGGAAGCAAGGAGAAGAAGAAUUUGUCAAAAUGUCAGAAGUACCUCGAGAGCGAGCAUGGACUUCUUCUGUUAGGAAGGUGGACUAUUGCAGCGAGCGAUGCAGAUGCUAUGCUCAUAUAUGUGGCUUUCUAUCUUUUUAUUAAGUAUCGUCCAAGGAUGUUGGAAUCAAUUUGGUGUUUGAUUUCAAAGGGGAGUUGUACACUGCAUUUGAUGCCUAUUGCAAUGGAGCUAAUCUUGAAAUCCUUCAAGGUAAUGGAGCGUUGAGAUUGUACGAGCCGUUGACUCAAGAACUUGGGAAGUUACUCAAAACGGACAAUUCACCAAUUUUUCCUGAUAUUAGAGUGAUUCCAAAUAACGUCAAGAAAUCGACGGAGAAAGACAGUGAGAAUGUAAUAGACUGUGAGACUGCAUCAACAAACAGUUUUCUAAAUAAGCAAUCAAACUAUACCAGGACGAAUACUGAUAAUAAUGAGAGGAUAGUUACUAGUAAAAAACAACAUGAAAGGAGCCGUUCAAAGCAAAAAGAAACUUACGUAUGAACAUUUCUAUUUUAUCAURAAAGUUUUUGGUCGGCUGCACCUAAAGCAGUAAUGAUAUUAUUUGCACCGGAAUUAUGAAGUAGUGUCAUGUAUUGGGGUAAGUCCCCGCGUCUUUCUAACUGAAUGGUGUAAAUCUAACCAUGUUUAUUUCUCCGAGUCAUGUCUAUCAGCUCUGGAAAGUGAACACCGUAAUAUUGUCAAUAAAAUAAUCAUAAGCUAU